GACUCUUGGCAACGGAUAUCUCGGCUCACGCAUCGAUGAAGAACGUAGCAAAAUGCGAUACUUGGUGUGAAUUGCAGAAUCCCGUGAACCAUCGAGUUUUUGAACGCAAGUUGCGCCCAAAGCCUUUCGGCCAAGGGCACGUCUGCCUGGGCGUCACAC
RNAcentral lists this ribosomal RNA (159 nucleotides) under Roldana suffulta. RNAcentral's name for it is "5.8S ribosomal RNA". It matches the Rfam family "5.8S ribosomal RNA". Rfam says of the family: 5.8S ribosomal RNA (5.8S rRNA) is a component of the large subunit of the eukaryotic ribosome. It is transcribed by RNA polymerase I as part of the 45S precursor that also contains 18S and 28S rRNA. The record is from RNAcentral. Lineage: Eukaryota; Viridiplantae; Streptophyta; Magnoliopsida; Asterales; Asteraceae.